AACGAACGCUGGCGGCAUGCCUAACACAUGCAAGUCGAACGAACCCUUCGGGGUUAGUGGCGCACGGGUGCGUAACGCGUGGGAAUCUGCCCUUUGCUUCGGAAUAACUCAGGGAAACUUGUGCUAAUACCGGAUGAUGUCUUCGGACCAAAGAUUUAUCGGCAAGGGAUGAGCCCGCGUAGGAUUAGGUAGUUGGUGGGGUAAAGGCCUACCAAGCCGACGAUCCUUAGCUGGUCUGAGAGGAUGAUCAGCCACACUGGGACUGAGACACGGCCCAGACUCCUACGGGAGGCAGCAGUGGGGAAUAUUGGACAAUGGGCGCAAGCCUGAUCCAGCAAUGCCGCGUGAGUGAUGAAGGCCCGCGGGUCGUAAAGCUCUUUUACCAGGGAUGAUAAUGACAGUACCUGGAGAAUAAGCUCCGGCUAACUCCGUG
Molecule: ribosomal RNA, 433 nt
Filed under: uncultured bacterium
Lineage: Bacteria
Description: partial 16S ribosomal RNA
Rfam family: Bacterial small subunit ribosomal RNA
Source: RNAcentral